UCGAAGAGGUAAGUUGUAGCUUGAACUUCCCCAUUCUUCCAUAGUUCACCUGCAUUCGUUAAGGAAUCAUUUUUAUUUCAGUUAUUCUCCUUCUGAAAUCAAUAGCAGCAGCCACCAAACACCAAACAAUUACAAGGUUAAGCGCAAGAGUAAGAGCUAGUCAAUGAGUUACUGAACUGUAGCAAAGCUUCACUAUCAGGUUGAGUAGCUGCCGAUGGUGAUGAAGUGACGAACGAGACUCUUUUGUCUUAUUAUGUAUUAAUGAACUCUAGGGAUACAUGUCUUCAUACAUGUAAUCAGAACCUUAUUCCGCUGCGUACUCAGAAGUUUUAUGUUAUUUUGGCUAAGUCGGAGUUAUCCGAACUUACUAGUUAUUUGAGUCUAUACGACUAAACCUCCGUUAUAUUAUAAAUAUCCCUUUUGUUAAAAAUGAUGAAAUGCGAUUCUUCCUUGUUUGAUUAUUUCCCUUUCUACCCCGCUUCUAAUCUCCCUCCAUUAGUCACGGUUUCCCCGGCUUAAUUAUCCUUAAUUAGGGCCGG
Molecule: long non-coding RNA, 539 nt
Organism: Salvia miltiorrhiza (redroot sage)
Lineage: Eukaryota; Viridiplantae; Streptophyta; Magnoliopsida; Lamiales; Lamiaceae
Exons: 3
Source: RefSeq, a predicted model, not a curated record